GUGGCAUCUGAUAUGGCCCUUUUGCUGAUGUGGAAUAUAACGUGGGAGCUGAUGUGUCAUUUUUUACAACGUGGCGGCUGAUGUGGCAACUGACGUGGCAGUUGUUGUGGCAACUGACGUGGGAGUGUUAGGCCAAUACGUUGAAAGUUGAGAGUGCUGGUGUACAAAUCGAAAGUUGGGAGUGUGUUAUCGGCCAAUUGGUAAAAAUUAAGUUUAUUUAAUAUUUUCUUUUGUUGGAUUCCUGCUGAUCCAAAAGCCCCAAAUAAACAUAUAUUUUCAGCCCCCAAAAUUUGAAUGUUCAAGUUUUGCCACCGGUUCAAUUUACUUCGGGUUGAGUAUUCAAUAGGUUUUGGUGGUUUAUAAAUACCAUUUAUGACUCCUCUUUGCAAUAGUCGAGUACGGUCAGUACACUUUGGUCGUUGUAUCUUCAAUCUCUCCAUUAUUCAGUGUUAGAAUCUAUGGUUGUUAAGGACUUAAGAGCAUUCACAUCCGUUCUUUCACCCUAAAAUU
Molecule: long non-coding RNA, 510 nt
Filed under: Helianthus annuus (common sunflower)
Lineage: Eukaryota; Viridiplantae; Streptophyta; Magnoliopsida; Asterales; Asteraceae
Description: hypothetical non coding rna
Source: RNAcentral